UUUGAUCCUGGCUCAGGACGAACGCUGGCGGCGUGCUUAACACAUGCAAGUCGAACGAUGAAGCGGUGCUUGCACCGUGGAUUAGUGGCGAACGGGUGAGUAAUACGUGAGUGACCUACCUUUGACUCUGGGAUAAGCCUGGGAAACUGGGUCUAAUACCGGAUACGACCAAUCUCUGCAUGGGGUGUUGGUGGAAAGCGUUAUGGAGUGGUUUUAGAUGGGCUCACGGCCUAUCAGCUUGUUGGUGAGGUAAUGGCUUACCAAGGCGACGACGGGUAGCCGGCCUGAGAGGGUGACCGGCCACACUGGGACUGAGACACGGCCCAGACUCCUACGGGAGGCAGCAGUGGGGAAUAUUGCACAAUGGGCGCAAGCCUGAUGCAGCGACGCCGCGUGAGGGAUGACGGCCUUCGGGUUGUAAACCUCUGUUAGCAUCGAAGAAGCGAAAGUGACGGUAGGUGCAGAGAAAGCGCCGGCUAACUACGUGCCAGCAGCCGCGGUAAUACGUAGGGCGCGAGCGUUGUCCGGAAUUAUUGGGCGUAAAGAGCUUGUAGGGCGGUUGGUCGCGUCUGCUGUGAAAGGCCGGGGCUUAACUCCGGUUUUGCAGUGGGUACGGGCUAACUAGAGUGCAGUAGGGGAGACUGGAAUUCCUGGUGUAGCGGUGGAAUGCACAGAUAUCAGGAGGAACACCGAUGGCGAAGGCAGGUCUCUGGGCUGUAACUGACGCUGAGAAGCGAAAGCAUGGGGAGCGAACAGGAUUAGAUACCCUGGUAGUCCAUGCCGUAAACGUUGGGCACUAGGUGUGGGGGACAUUCCACGUUUUCCGCGCCGUAGCUAACGCAUUAAGUGCCCCGCCUGGGGAGUACGGCCGCAAGGCUAAAACUCAAAGGAAUUGACGGGGGCCCGCACAAGCGGCGGAGCAUGCGGAUUAAUUCGAUGCAACGCGAAGAACCUUACCAAGGCUUGACAUGCAUUAGAUCGCGUCAGAGAUGGCGUUUCCCUUCGGGGCUGGUGUACAGGUGGUGCAUGGUUGUCGUCAGCUCGUGUCGUGAGAUGUUGGGUUAAGUCCCGCAACGAGCGCAACCCUCGUUCUAUGUUGCCAGCGGUUCGGCCGGGGACUCAUAGGAGACUGCCGGGGUCAACUCGGAGGAAGGUGGGGAUGACGUCAAAUCAUCAUGCCCCUUAUGUCUUGGGCUUCACGCAUGCUACAAUGGCCGGUACAGAGGGUUGCGAUACUGUGAGGUGGAGCUAAUCCCUUAAAGCCGGUCUCAGUUCGGAUUGGGGUCUGCAACUCGACCCCAUGAAGUCGGAGUCGCUAGUAAUCGCAGAUCAGCAACGCUGCGGUGAAUACGUUCCCGGGCCUUGUACACACCGCCCGUCAAG
Molecule: ribosomal RNA, 1383 nt
Filed under: uncultured bacterium
Lineage: Bacteria
Description: bacterial SSU rRNA
Rfam family: Bacterial small subunit ribosomal RNA
Source: RNAcentral